This 34-nucleotide small RNA is filed under the name Sinorhizobium meliloti 2011. Its description in RNAcentral is "putative ncRNA". The record is from RNAcentral. Lineage: Bacteria; Pseudomonadati; Pseudomonadota; Alphaproteobacteria; Hyphomicrobiales; Rhizobiaceae.
ACCUCAUAGGUAGGUUCGGAGUGCGUCGUCGCAU